CUUCGCCUGUGCUGCUGGGGUACCUCUUCCAGCUUAGUUCCAUCUGAAAGGAAUCUGGUCUGUGCUUGGAGACUGCACAGUAUGUGGGGCAUUCUGGCUUCAGAAGCACGCUGCUACUCCAGACUUGAGCACUGAUGUAAUGGGAAGGGGCAGAGGGAAUACUCAGAAUGUACUAUUUCAUGUUACAGGUGCUGACAGCAUGUGGAGCUGAGAGCAGUGAAAGUCCAAAGGACUGGGGCACCAGAGGAGGUCACCAGGAGCUGUCAUGACUGCAGGACAUAUAUAAGCCCUGCAGGAAAGAGAAAGGGAGAAUGAUUCAUUGGUUGAUGCAAGCCUCUGUAGGAGUAGACUGAAUCAAGCCUCUGUCAAGAACCACUUCUGCAAUACUGAAUUAACAUACCUAAGAUCAGCACAUCAGGAAGAUAGCCUUCUACCAAGAAUAGUGUGGAGAUACACCUUGUUCACAGAAGCUCUGGAAACAUCAUGAGACUCAGACAGAUACAGUGCAUCCUCCGAUUGCGGAGAUGUUGCUGCUCUCUGAGCACUGCACACUCUGUGUUCAUGACUGAUGGAAAUAAUGCCCGGUUUUGGGGGAGCUUUGUGUUAUGGGAGACAGUAACAGCUGCUCUAAUAGGGUGGCUUAUCACUUUCUUGUGGAGACAGGUUCUAUCAUCUCAUUAAUGCAAGCCCUGCCCCUUCACCUAGAUUCCUUCCCAGGCAGCUACAGUGGAUCUGCUCACCAAGGGAAUUUGUCCCACUGGAUUCCAUUUUUUUCUGUGCAGUUGAAUGAAAAGUGUGUGUCUUUUGAAGAACAGCAACUGAAAGAAAUAUUGAUGACUGCCAGGGUAUCUACAGAAAAUGAUAUGAAAAUUACUCUACUACAACAGUGAAGAAAAAUGGGCUUUGUUAACUCUUUCUUGUAGGUUGUUUAUAUUAAUAGGAACAAGUAAAGUUUUGUAUUUUUUCAGAGAAAUACACAAGGCCUUGAAUUGUAUUGUUUUAAUUGCAGCUAACUGAAUGAAUUAAGUGGAAAAACGCGCACAGUACUUUGAUUGUCUAAUUCUCUGUAUGUGAGGCUUUGGGAACAAUUUGUUACUAUAAAAGAACAGCAGUAACCAGAAAUCAGCCGACAUGUAAUUGCUAGGCAGAGGGGCAGUUUGGGGAAAGCUGAUACUUAUUUAUAAAUUAUUAAAUAAAAGCACAUAAUAUGAGGAUCA
This 1217-nucleotide long non-coding RNA is filed under the name Parus major (Great Tit). RNAcentral describes it as "lncRNA (ENSPMJG00000015403.1)". The record is from RNAcentral. Lineage: Eukaryota; Metazoa; Chordata; Aves; Passeriformes; Paridae.